GAUGAACGCUGGCGGCGUGCCUAACACAUGCAAGUCGAGCGAACGGACGAGAAGCUUGCUUCUUUGAUGUUAGCGGCGGACGGGUGAGUAACACGUGUAUAACCUACCUAUCAGACUGGGAUAACUUCGGGAAACCGGAGAUAAUACCGGAUGAUAUCUUGAACCGCAUGGUUCAAAAGAGAAAGACGGUCUUGCUGUCACUUAUAGAUGGAUCCGCGCUGCAUUAGCUAGUUGGUAAGGUAAAGGCCUACCAAGGCAACGAUGCAUAGCCGACCUGAGGGGGUGAUCGGCCACACUGGAGCUGGGACACGGUCCAGACUCCUACGGGAGGCAGCAGUCGGGAAUCUUCCGCAAUGGGCGAAAGCCUGACGGAGCGACGCCGCGUGAGUGAUGAAGGUCUUCGGAUCGUAAAACUCUGUUAUUGGGGAAGAACAUAUGUGUAAGUAACUGUGCACAUCUUGACGGUACCUAGUCAAAAAGCCCCGGCUAACUACGUG
Molecule: ribosomal RNA, 497 nt
Filed under: uncultured bacterium
Lineage: Bacteria
Description: partial 16S ribosomal RNA
Rfam family: Bacterial small subunit ribosomal RNA
Source: RNAcentral